GACGAACGCUGGCGGCGUGCUUAACACAUGCAAGUCGAACGGAAAGGCCCUGCUUUUGUGGGGUGCUCGAGUGGCGAACGGGUGAGUAACACGUGAGUAACCUGCCCGUGACUUUGGGAUAACUUCAGGAAACUGGGGCUAAUACCGGAUAGGAGCUCCUGCUGCAGGGGGGGGGUGGGAAAGUUUCGGCGGUUGGGGAUGGACUCGCGGCUUAUCAGCUUGUUGGUGGGGUAGUGGCUUACCAAGGCUUUGACGGGUAGCCGGCCUGAGAGGGUGACCGGCCACAUUGGGACUGAGAUCCGGCCCAGACUCCUACGGGAGGCAGCAGUGGGGAAUAUUGCACAAUGGGCGGAAGCCUGAUGCAGCACCGCCGCGUGCGGGAUGACGGCCUUCGGGUUGUAACCCGCUUUCGCCUGUGACGAAGCGUGAGUGACGGUAAUGGGUAAAGAAGCACCGGCUAACUACGUG
This 468-nucleotide ribosomal RNA is filed under the name uncultured bacterium. RNAcentral describes it as "partial 16S ribosomal RNA". It matches the Rfam family "Bacterial small subunit ribosomal RNA", at positions 28 to 507 of the family's 1533-position model. The record is from RNAcentral.